This 425-nucleotide ribosomal RNA is filed under the name uncultured Chitinophagaceae bacterium. RNAcentral's name for it is "bacterial SSU rRNA". It matches the Rfam family "Bacterial small subunit ribosomal RNA", at positions 354 to 776 of the family's 1533-position model. The record is from RNAcentral. Lineage: Bacteria; Pseudomonadati; Bacteroidota; Chitinophagia; Chitinophagales; Chitinophagaceae.
GUAAGGAAUAUUGGUCAAUGGGCGGAAGCCUGAACCAGCCAUGCCGCGUGGAGGAUGACUGCCCUCUGGGUUGUAAACUCCUUUUACGGGGGACGAAAAAAGGUUUUUUCAAGCCGUCUGACGGUACCCCGUGAAUAAGCACCGGCUAACUCCGUGCCAGCAGCCGCGGUAAUACGGAGGGUGCGAGCGUUAUCCGGAUUCACUGGGUUUAAAGGGAGCGUAGGCGGGCAUGUAAGUCAGUGGUGAAAUCCUGGGGCUCAACCCCGGAACUGCCAUUGAUACUAUGUGCCUUGGAUACUGUUGAGGUCUGCGGAAUAUGUCAUGUAGCGGUGAAAUGCUUAGAUAUGACAUAGAACACCGAUUGCGAAGGCAGCAGGCUAAACAGCCAUCGACGCUGAGGCUCGAAAGCGUGGGGAUCAAACAGG